AAAGUUUUCUCCUGCUAGUUCUCUGGGUUAAGCCAAAAUCUACACAUAAAAGGGCAGUUAAACAUGAAUUUCAAGUAAAAACAUAAUUCAAAGUUUUGCUGGACCAUCAGUUGAAACCAAGUACUAGGCUCUGGCUUAGCUUCCCUUAAUCACAGUCGUUGUAAUCAAACAACUUCGCCGAACAGACAAAACCUGCAACUUAUCAUCAGUUCAUUGCUCAGCCUAGAUGAAGAAGCAGUUGAUAGAAUACAAUCAUAAGGUGUGUAAAAAAAAAUUAAACUUAGAUACAAGGUAACUUAUCUACAAUUAUAGUUUGGCUAAAUAAUUAAUUAGGCCAAUAAAUGUAGAAUAAUUGGUUUGAUAUAAUGAUAACCACUGCCUUCAAAACUAGAAAAUUAUUACUGAUUGGACUGAAUUUUGAUAAACAAUAUAUUUUCUGUUUAGAAUUAAUAAAUAGAAGCAUAUAGGAACCCAUUCGUUGUUGAAGUCCGGCUGCUGCUAAAUGAUGCCUUUCUAAUGUUGAAGGUAAAGGGAAACCAAUUUCAAAUAUUUUGAAGAACCGGCUGAAUUUGUCAAAUAAGAAAAUGUAUCUAAGUUUGACUGCUCGAGUGAUUUGUGAUUGUUGUGAAGGAGAACACUAUAUUUAUAGUUUCCAACAGUUUCUUGAAAUCCCUUUGGUAGAGAAAUGAUUUUUAAAAUGAUGGGGGCAUGAGAUAGAAAGAUACAUGGUGUUGUCAAGGAUCAAUAAGUUCUAUUAGAGUGCAAACCAAUCUCUGAAUGAAAGGUUAUGUUAAGAAUGCUAGCUUGUCACAAUACCUACUCAUUUUCUUUUCAGACAUGCAUUAGCAUGUCACAUGUUCUCUUCUCAUAGCCAACACAGCUUAAUGUUGACAAGAGAUCACAUGAGUGUCUAGAGGUCUUUCUCAAAGAUUAAAUGAGUGAUUCUUAAGACUCUACAGUAAUUAAAUUUAUCUAAUUGAUAUCAGCCACAUUUUACGGUUAGAUCAACAACGUGGCCAGUCUGUCCAUACAAAGUUGAGCACAUCCAAGAAGAUUGCAUUGUUUAUUGGUGAUAUAACUUGUCUUACAAAAACAAGAACAAGACAUUUGAUGUGUCUAGAGCUUGUCUGAAUUAUAUUAAGUAAGCUAUCUCUAGUCCUUUUUCAAAAGGUGGGGUAUGUAUUCUCACAUUUUAUGGUCCUCUAGGAAAGCUUUCAAGACAGUACCAUGUGAUCAUUAAUGAGCCAGGCUCCCACUAACACCCAUUCAAUAACUCAUUCGCUAUACAAUUGGUUUAACAUACUCUAUAUAUAUAUCCAUCAUUGGGUUUACAAGCAACACAAACCAUUCAUACUUGGAAGCGUCAGAAUUCAAGUUCAUUUCUUUCUUCUCCUACUUUUUCAUUCUAUUGUCAAGAAACAAAACGAGAAUGGGUUUUCACUUACCUGGUAUUGACGAUCAUCAUCUAGCAAACAAGUGGAAGUCCCAAAGGCUAUCUUGCGGUGUAUGUCGAGAGAAAGCAGGAGGUUCUUGAUUCCAAUAGAAACGAGCCUUUAUUUCAAGAAUUGCUUAUCCAAGCUGAAGAGGAAGUACUGUCAUACCAAUGGCUUACAAUUCCGUGCAAGGAAGAUAUCUACUUACAUACAGUUUCUUGCUUGAACAACCUAUAAAGAAUCAUACGGCAAAAAAUGCAAUAAUGUUAGCAUAGAACAGUGUAGAUUAAGUAGUGGAGACAAUUUUUGUACAUCAGGAAUUCCUGUCAAUUUUGAUGUUCCUCUUAAGUGGGAAAUAUGAAAUGAGAAUCUAAUCAAACUAUAUUUUUGUGAAUUCAUCGUUGUUUUUUGUGAACUCAUCUAAUCAAACUAAUAUUAAUUAGUACUAGAGACGUAGUUAAUUAAAGCCUAAAACAGAACCAAAUUAUACUCUGAUGAAUUCAUCUGUUGAUUUUAAUCUCAUCUUAAAUACUUGUGUUGCAUGCACAAACACAAGUCAAUGAAGCCAUGCCCCCAAUUUAAUGGAAACUGUCUAUUACAUACUAACCAAAAGAUUAUCUCAGUCUCCAUACAUUAGUAUUCCUUUCUUAAAUCAAAAUAUUAUCACAGUCUCAAAAUUACAUGCAUGCAGUUCAUGUGUUUCAGGAGCUAAUUAAACAGAGACUGAGCAGAGCAUAUAACAGAGCAUAUAUUGGAGACAGUUAAUUAGAGCCUCAAAUUGAAGAUAAACCAUCAAAUAAUAGAGUUCAGGCUUACCACUUAUUGACCAAAUUAUGAAAAGUCUUCUAUUGCUAGUUCUCUGUUUAGCCAAAAUCUACACAUAAAAUGGCAGUUAAACAUGAAUUUCGAGUAAAUAACAUAACUCAAAGCUUCCCUUAAUCAGAGCUGUUGUGGUCAAACAACUUCGCCCGAAACAGACAAAACAAACAUUUAACUGUCCUGCAACUUAUCUCAGUUCAUUGCUCUGCCUAGAUAAGAAGCAGUUGAAUAGAAUAGAAUCAUAAGGUGUGUAAAAAAAAUUAAACUUAGAUACAAGGUAACUUAUCUACAAUUAUAGUUUGGCUAAAUAAAUUACUAGGCCGAUAAAUGUAGAAUAAUGUUUGAUAUAAUGAUAACCACUGCUACAAAACUAGAAAAUUAUUACUGAUUGGACUGAAUUUUAAUAAACAAUAUAUUUUUCUGUAUUAGAAUUUAUAAAUAGAAGCAUAUAGGAACCCGUUCGUUGUUGAAUAUAAUUUCAUUAUGAUUAGAAAUAAAUAAAUAACAAAUAUUUUGUUCCUGAAUUUGUCAUUCAGAUGGACAAUUCUAAACCCAUUCAAAAGUAGGGAAAGGAAAAAUCAUAACAAAAAUUAAAAUUGUGACUGUUGUACAAAUGUCACUGCUAAUCUAAUGUCAGUAUUUUGCAGCUCUAGAUUAUAGUCCAUUGAAGCGAGAAGUAAUAUGCAAGAAAACAUCUUGCGUGCAAGAAUUGUGAGGCCGCCAUCGGAUGAUCAUAUCCGAAUUCUCCUCAGCUGCAUCCACAAGUCUUGAAAUGAAGGUUGGUUCAAGUAAGACAUAGGAAUAACAAAGCGCUUCAUUUUCUCUCCAACAUACACAGCAAGAUAACCUUUUGGCACAUUCAAAGUUUUGACGAUGCUUGGCUACCUAUAAAGAAGCACGUCUAAUAGAAGGUAAUCGGAACCCAUCUUGUAAUGUUUGAAAACACAACUGAAUUUCUCCAGAUUUAAGAAAAGUGUAUGUAAAUUUGUUUGCUUGAGUGGUUUUUGUGAUGUUGUGAAGGAAGAUGGUGGUGCAUAUAUAGUUUCCAAUAGUAUCUUGAAAUCCAUUUGAUUGAGAAAUUAUUGUUAAAAUGAUGGGUCCAUGAGACAAUAGAUCACAUGGUACUGUCUUAGAUGCCUCUAUCUAUCAAGUAUAGAUAAAUUCAACAAGAGUGCAAACCAUAGCACUGAAAUCAAUUGAUAUGUGCGCAAGUUAAAUCUAAUGCUAGCUGUACAUGCCUGCCAUUUUCUUCAGACAUGCAUCAGACAUGGCACAUGUUCUCUCCUAUUAACAACACAGCUUAUGUUGAUAUAUUUAUUAUUCUUGAAGAGCCUAGUGGAGAUUAGACUGUGGUUCACAACAGAUCACAAACUACUGUCUAGAGGUCUUGUCAAGAUUGAAUAAUUGCUUAAGAAUUGAGAGAGUAUUUACAUGUAUGUCCCACAUUAAGAGAUGUGGUAACAUGGUGACCAUUCACAAAAUGAAAUUCAGUCCACAAAACUACUAAUUUUUAAACCAUUGCAAUGACAUGAUUCUUAUGUUUCAGACAUGCCUACAUGUUAAAACAUCUCAAAGUGGUAAAAUCUCCCAGUGAGAAGUACUUUACUCAGCAUGCAUUUCAAGAGAAACUCUCAAAAGACGAAUUAUGAGCAUGCAUGCAAUGGUACUGUAAAUUACUCCAUACUAGAGAGGAAUGUGAAUUACUGUCAUCAACAUGGAAGUCUACAAUUCCUGCAACGCACCAAUUUUAGGAAACUGACUAUAUCUUACAUAGUAGAUAUGGUAUGCAAGGCUGUUAUUCUAUUGGAUACGUAGUGAGACCUAUACAACAAAGCUCAAAAAAUAAUUCUUUAAAGAAAACCAUAACCUUAUAAAGAAAUUCAACUUGUUUUACACUGUGACAGAAUUUUUGAAGCAAGUCAGUAGCAUUGAAAAUGAAAUUAAGACAAGAAUCUACACAGUUGAAGAAGGUGGUGACCAUUAUCACAUGAACUCUUAUACAUAACCAAAUCAGAAUAAAACUGAAAGCUAUGAUGUAUAUAUAUAUGGUGAAUUUGAUGUUUUCUGAAACGAAGAUCGUAUGGUGAACCAUUCAGAACAAUGAUUUAACUAUACAUAACGAAAACUGAAAGCUAUGUUUUGCAAACACAUAACAAUGAUAGAUAUAUACCAAAUCAGAACAAGAAUUUAGCCCUAUUCAAUAAUACUUGGUUGAAGUAGGACGUCUUCGUCAUGAUCAACUACCUGCAUGAUAAGUAAACUCAAAAAAUCAAGAAAAAAGGAAACGAAUUGUAGAAAAUAACGCCUAGAUUUAUGAUCUGAAACGGGAGAGAAAAGUUCAAAAAAAUUCAGAAAACAAAACCUAAUACUUGGUUGAAAUAGGAGUCACGCGUCACGUAACACACCCUGCAUUGAAGAGAAAACAAACCCUAAACCUCAAAAUCAAGAGAAAAAAGGAAAUGCAGAAAAGCAAAACCCUAACAACAAUGUCUGAACGGCAAAGAAGAAGACGAGACAGGGAAAAAAAUCUCAAAAAAAUUUGGACCAUUUCUCGAUUUGUGCGUGUCAUCCUUGCGCAGGGCCAUGCUACUUCUCGUAUCGUUCCAAUUAUCGGAUUGUCCCCGAAGGGACGAUAGUGGUUACUCUUAACAUGGUAAAUAUAUAAACAAAACAAUGAAAUUAGGUCAUCAAUGGGGACUAAAAGUAAGUAGUACAUAUUAUUUCUCCUUGUUUUAGUUCUCUGCUUCAAUUCUGCACUAUUUUAAUGUAUCUCUUGCCUCAAUUCACUAAUUACUAGUACUAAUUAAUUAUCACUAAAUCUUCUCAAGGAUCAAGGUCCACAUGUAUACUAAUAAUCUUAGUAAUUUUUUUUUUUGGCUCUCCUAUACAAACUUACUAUUUUCUACAACUAGUAACAUCUGCGUAACAAACUAAUUUAAUACUUAAUUAUGAAUUAGCAUUACUAUUAUUUUUAUAUUAACUUAAUUACCAUUCACUCAUAAUUAAUACUCUUUACUUAUUAAUUGAUUAGUACUAUUAUAAUUAUUCUUUAUAUUAGUUACUCUUUAUCCAUUAACAAUAUCCUUAUUAAAUUAUAGCAAUCGUUUUUAUACUCUUCAAUAAUAAAUUUUUCUAACACUUUAUAAAAUUAUCCUAAUUUAACUUUAACUAAUUAAUUUCUAAAUGCAGUGGUUUUAAUUUGAAAUUAGUGUUUGUCCUAUAAGUGGUUUAAAAAUUUAAAUUCAAUACUAUUAUUGUUGCUCUUUAUUAUUAAUUGAUACUGUUCGUACAAUUAACUAUUGUUUACUCAUUAAUCAAUUAAUGUUAUUCUAUUAUUAGUUAUUAUUCCUUUCUCAUUAAUCAAUUAACCGUGUCCUUAUUAUACUCAAUUUUUCUUAAAGUAAUCGAUUUAAUACUCUUCACUUAAUAAAUCUUUAACACUUACAGAAUUAUCUAAUUUAAGUAUUUGACUAAUUAAUGUCUAAAAGUCUCUACUCAAAUUUUUUCAUUACUUAAUCACUCAAUUAGAAAAUGUAUAAAAAUCAAAUUAUAUCAAACACAAUUGCAUGUACCUUAAAGUCGGAUAAAACAAAAUAAAAACAAACUAGUGACAAGAAAUUAUGACGAAACAACAAUUGGAUAUACGAUGUAAAAUCAUCAUAAUAUAAUCGCAGUCUCACAUUUAUGUGGUUCAAUGGUUUAACUAAGAUGUAUCAUGAUCAAUGGUGUUUUUCAUGUUUCAUCAACAAAAGGAUUACUGCAACAUGUGUAAUCUUUUCCAUUGUCAUAAGUGUGCAUCAUUUGAUCCGGUGUUUUAUUAUUUGUGUCUAGAAUCCAAUAUUCCUUUGUUGUUGAUGUUUAAUGUCUUGUAUGAAUUGUCCUAUCUUAUAACACCGACAAAAAGUUAAACAAAUCGUUACAAGUCGGUCCCUCCACGAAAUAGUCACUAACCACCUACUCGGAAAUUUGGAGGAAGUUCAAAUCAACUUGCAAAUGCAUUGCCAAAGAGGAAACAUUAUAGGUCAUUUUGGGCAAAAUAUCAUUGAACAAGUGAUUUUCCCAACUCUUAAAAUGCAUAACUCCUUCAUUAACAAAUCCAAUUAAGAAAGUCAAAUUUGUGAUCAAAAUUUAAUUAGUUUGGGAAAAGAGCUACAACUUUGAUGAAGGAAUGUUUUCAUUUGAAGUCCAUAGAAAAAGUGUUCAAGGUGAAGAAGUGAACAUUUGAACUUGGGACUUAGAAAAUUUUCAAAUAUUUUGAUUCCCUAACUUCCACUCCAAAAUUUAUCAUGAAUCCAAGCUUUCAAAAAAAAACGUGUUUCAUCAUACAAAGUUGUUCCCCUUGAUCCUCGCCUUUCCAAAAAGUCCAAGAUUCAACCUUAUUUGAACCAACAGGAAUGAAGGACUUAACGCAUGGAUGCAAUGUGAGAUGCGCCAUUUGGAUGAUUUUUAUCCACAUUUCAUACAGCAAAAUGCAAUGGCCACUGACAUGAUUUUAGCAUGAAUCCUCACUCCUUUUGGAACCCUGAAUACAUCAAUUGAAUGGACCUAUCACACCCAUAGCAAGCAUCAAAGAGAAAUUAAACUAAAAUUGGCAAUUUUUGGAAGUGUGUGGAAAGAACAUCUCCUUUGGCUAUAAAUAAACCCUUAUUACUCAGAGAUUAAAGGGACCUGCAUGCCCAGCUUUGAACCUGCAAUACAAACUCUCACGCAUUAAAGAUAUCUUGAAGGUUUUCAUUUUAAAAUCGAGCUCAAAUUCUCUUCGUUUUGAGAAUUGAAACUCCAAGAGAUUCAUUUCCACACACUUCCAAAAAAUUGCCAAUUUUAGUAAUUCUUCUUGAAUGCGUUGCAUGGGUGCUGUGAAUUAGGUUCCAUCAAUUGAUGUAUUCAGGUCAAAAUGAGUGAGGAUCAUGCCUAAAAAUCCAUGUCAUGUGGCCAUGCAUGUUGUGUAUGAAAUGUGGUAGUAAAAAUCCAUCCAAUGGCAUCUCAACAUUGCAUCCAUGCGUAAGUCCUUCAUUCUUUGGUCAAAUAAGGUGAUUCUUUGCACUUUUUGGAACAAGGCGAGAUCAAGGGGAACAACUUUUAUGAUGAACACGUUUUUAUUUGAAGCUUGGAUCAUGAAUAAAUUUGAGGUGGAAGUUUUAGGGAAAUCAAACAUAUUUGAAAAUUUUCUAAUCCCAAGUCAAAUGUUACUUCUUCCACUUGAUAUUCAACUUUUUCUAUGGACUUCAAAUGAAAAACAUUCCUUCAUCAAAGUUGUAGCUCUUUCAAACUAUUAAAUUUUGAUCACAAAUUUGACUUUAUUUGGAUUUGUAUAUGAAGGGAAGUUAUGCACAUUUGUAGAAGUUGAGAAAAUCACUUGUUCAAAUGAUAUUGACCCCAAAAUGACCUAUACAUGUUUCCUCUGGGCACAUGCAUUUGCAAGUUGAAUUUUGAACUUCCUCAAAUUUCCGAGUAGUGGUUAGUGACUUAUUUCGUGAGGACCGACUGUAACGAUUUUGGUUACUUUUUGUGGUUUAUAAUGAUAGGACAAUUCAUACAAGACAUUAAACAUCAACAACAAAGAAUAUGGCAUUCUAACACAAAUAUAAACACCGGAUCAAAUGAUGCACACUAUGACAAUGGAAAAGAUUACACAUGUGCAGUAUCCUUUUGUGAUAACAUGAAAACACAUAUCAGAUACAUCUUUUAAACAUUGAACCACAUAAAUGUGAGACUCCGAUUAUAUUAUGAUGAUUUUACAUCGUAUAUCCAAUUGUUGUUUCGUCAUAUUCUUGUCACUAGUUUGUUUUUAUUUUUUUAUCCGACUUUAAGGUACAUGCAAUUGUUUUGUAUAAUUUGAUUUUUAUACAUUUCUAUUGAGUGAUUAAGUAGGAAAAAUAAUUUGAGUAGGAGACUUUUAGACAUUAAUUAGUCAAACUUAAAUUAGAUAAUUCUGUAAGUGUUAGAAGAAUUUAUUAAUGAAGAGUAUUAAAUCGAUUACUUUAAGAAAAAUUGAUUAAUAAGACACGGUUAAUGAUUAAUGAGAAGGAAUAACUAAUAAUAAGAAUAACAUAAUUGAUUAAUGAGUAAACAAUAGUAAUUUGUAACGACAGUAUCAAUUAAUAAAUAAAGAGCACUAAUAAUAGUAUUGAAUUAAAUUUUUAAACCCUAGAGGACAAACACUAUUUCAAAUUAAAACCACUGCAUUUAGAAAUUAUUAGUUAAAGUUAAAUUAGAUAAUUUAUUAAGUGUUAGAAAAAUUUAUUAUUGAAGAGUAUAAAACGAUUGCUAUAAUUUAAUAGAUAUUGUUAAUGGAUAAAGAGUAACUAAUAAUAAAGAAUAACUUAUAAUAGUACUAAUCAAUAAUAAGUAAAGAGUAUUAUUAUUAGUGAAUGGAUAAUUAAGUAUAAUUAAUAAAAAUAAUAGUAAUGCUAAUUCAAUAAUUAAGUGAUUAAUUAGUUUUCUUACCGCAGAUAGAUUACUAGUUGUAGAAAAUAGUAAGUUUGUAUAGGAGAGCCAAAAAAAAAAAUUACUAAAGUAUAGUAGUAAUACAUGGUGGACCUUGAACUCCUUGAGAAUUUUGUGUAUAAUUAAUUAGUACUAGUAAUUAAGUGAAGUUGAGGCAAGAGAAGAAUUAAAAAAUAGAUGCAGAAUGGAAGAGAGAAAUAAUAAGAAGGAGAAAUAAUUGUACUACUUACUUUAGUCCACACAUUGACUGCCUAAUUUCAUUGUUUAGUGUUUAUAUACCAUAAGUUAAGAGAACCACUAUCGUCCCUUCGGGGACAUCCGAUAAAUUGGAACGAUACAGAGAAAGAUUAGCAUGGCCCUGCGCAAGGAUGACACGCACAAAUCGAGAAAUGUCCAAAUUUUUUUUGAGAUUUUUUUCCUGUCUCGUCUUCUUCGCCUGCCGUUCAGACAUUGUUGUUAGGGUUUUGCUUUUCUGCAUUUCCUUUUCUCUUGAUUUUGAGUUUAGGGUUUUUGUUUUCUCUUCAAUGCAGGUGGUGUUCGUGACGACGUGACUCCUAUUUCAACACAGUAUAGGGUUUUGUUUUCUAUUUUUUUGACUUUUCUCUCCGUUCAGAUAUUAUUAGGGUUUGUUUUCUACAUUUCGUUUCCUUUUUUCUUUGAUUUUGAGUUUCUUUCAAUGCAGGUGGUGUUCAUGACGAGGUACUCCUACUUCAACAAGUAUUAUGUAUGGUUAAAUCUUGUUCUGAUUUGGUUAUUCUAUCAUUUUAUGUGUUGCGAAAACAUAGUUCAGUUUCGUUAUGUAUAGUUAAAUCAUUGUUCUGAUUUGGUUCACCAUAUCGAUCUUCGUUUCAGAAAACAUCAAAUUCACCAUAUAUAUAUAACAUAUAGCUUUUCAGUUUUAUUCUGAUUUGGUUAUGUAUAGAGUUCAUGUGAUAAUGUCCCGCACCUUCUUCAACUGUUGUAGAUCUUGUCUUAAUUUCAUUUCAAUGCUACUGACUUGCUUCAAAAUUCUGUCACGUGUAAAACAAGUUGAAUUUCUUUUAUAGUUAUGGUUUUCUUUUAAAGAUUUAUUUCUUUGAGCUUUGUGUAUGGUCUCACUACGUAUCCAAUAGAAAACCAGCCUUGCAAUUACCAUAUCUACAUGUAAGAAUAGUCAGUUUCCAUAAAAUUGGUGCGUUGCAGGGAAUUGUAGACCUUCCCAUUGGAUGACAGUAAUCACAUUCCUCUCAUAAGUAUGGAGUAAUUUACAGUACCAUGACAUGCAUGCUCAAAUUCGUCUUUUGAGAGUUCUCUUGAAAUGCAUGCUGAGUAAAGUACUUCUCACUGGAGAUUUACCCUUUUGAGAUGUUUUUAACAUGUAAGGCAUGUCUGAAACAAUAAGAAUCAUGUAUUGCAAUGGUUUAAAAAUUAGUAGGUUUUGGACUGAUUUCAUUUUGUGAAUGGUCACCAAUGUUACCACAUCUUCUAAUGUGGGACAUACAUUAAAUUACUCUCUCAGAUUCUUAAGCAUUAUUCAAUCUUGACAAAGACCUCUAGACAGUAGUUUGUGAUCUGUUGUGAACCACAGUCUGAUUAUCUCCAACUGGCUCUUCAGAAUAAUAAAUUAUCAACAUUAAGCUUGUGUUUGUAAUAGGAAGAGAACAUGGCCGUCUGAUGCAUGUCUGAAAGAAAUGAGCAUGCAUUGUACAAGUAGCAUUGAGUUUAACUUGCGCACAUAUCAAUUGAUUUUCAGUGCUAUGGUUUGCACUCUUGUUGAAUUUAUCUAUACUUGAUAGAUAGAGGCAUCUAAGACAGUACAUGUGAUCUAUUGUCUCAUGGGACCAUCAUUUUAAACAAUAAUUCUUCUCAAUCAAAUGGAUUUCAAGAUACUAUUGGAACUAUAUAUGCACCACCAUCUUCCUUCACACAUCACAAACCACUCAAGCAAACAAAUUACAAACACUUUUCUUAAAUCUGAAAAUUCAGUUUGUUUUUCAAACCAUUACAAGAUGGGUUUCCGAUUACCUUCUAUUAGACGUGCUUCUUUUAUAGGUAGCCAAGCAUCGUCAAAAACUUUGAAUUGCCAAAAGGUUAUCUUGCUGUGUAUGUUGGAGAGAAAUGAAGCGCUUUGUUAUUCCUAUGUCUUACUUGAACCAACCUUCAUUUCAAGACUUGUUGCAUGCAGCUGAGAAGAAUUCGGAUAUGAUCAUCCGAUGGGCGGCCUCACAUUCCUUGCACGCAGAUGUUUUCUUGCAUAUUACUCUCCGCUUCAAUGGACUAUGAAACUCUAGCUGCAAGAUACUGACAAUUAGGAUUAGCAGUGACAUUUUGUACAACAGUCACAUAUUUAUAUUUGUAUAGAUUUUCCUUUCCGCUACUUUUUGGGAAUGGUAGAAUUGUCCAUCUGAAUGACAAAUUCAGGAAACAAAAUAUUGUGUUAUAUUUAUUUCUAAUCAUAAUGAAAUAAUAUUCAACAACGAGACGGUUUGCCUAUAUGCUUCUUAUUUAUAAAUUCUAAUACAGAAAUAUAUUGUUUUAAUGUAAAAAUCAGUUCGCAAUCAGUAAUAAUUUCUAGUUUAAGGCCAGUGUGUUAUCAUUAUAUCAACCAAUUAUUCUAACAUUUAUCGGGCCUAGUUAAUUAUUAGCCGAACAUAAUUGUAGAUAAGUUAGCCUUUUAUCCUAAGUUAUAAUUUUUUUACACACCUUAUGAUUCUAUUCUAUCAACUGCUUCUUCAUCUUAGGCAAGAGGGCAAAAUGAAACUGAGAUAAGUUGCAAGGACAGUAAAUGUUUGUUUGUCUUUCGGGCGAAGUUGUUUGACGCACAAGCAGCUCUGAUUAAGGGAAGCUUUGAGUUAUGUUAUUUACUGAAUCAUGUUUAACUGCCCAUUUUAUGUGUUAGAGUUUUGGCUAAGAAAGAAACUAGCAAUAGAAGACUUUCAUAAUUUGGAUCAAUAAGUGGUAAGCCCUGACUCCUAUUAUUUGAUGUUUAUCUUCAAUUUGAGGCUCUAAAUAUAUGUCUCCAAUAGAUGCUCUCCGCUUAUAGUGCUCUGCUCAGUCUCUGUUAAUUAGCUCCGUAAAACAAUGAACUGCAUGGCAUGUAAUUUUGAGACUGUGAUAUAUUUUGAUUUAAGAAAGGAAUACUAAAUUAUUGGAGACUGAGAUAAUCUUUUGUUAGUAAUGUAAUAGACAGUUCCAUUAAAUUGGGGCAUGGCUUCAUUGACUUGUGUUUGUGCAUGCAACACAAGUAUUUAAGAUCGAGAUUAAAACAACAGAGAAUUCAUCAGAGUAUGAAUUUGGUUUGUUUUAGCUUUAAUUAACACGUCUCUAGUACUAAUAAAUAUUAGUUUGAUUAGAUGAGUUCCAAAAACAACGGAUGAAUUCACAAAAAAUAUAGUUUUGAUUAGAUUCCCUCAUUUCAUAUUUCCCACUUAGAGGAAACAUCAAAAUUGACAGGAAUUCCUGAAUGUACAAAAAUUGUCUCCACUAACUUAGAUCUACACUGUUUCUAUGCUAACCAUUCAUUAUGCAUUUUUUGCCGUAUGAAUUCUUAUAGGUUGUUCAAGCAAGAAACUGUAUAAAUGUAAGUCGAUAUCUUCCUUGCACGGAUUGUAAGACCGCCCAUUAAGGAUGAACAGUAACCGUAUUCAAUACUCAGCUUGAUAAGCAGUUCUUGAAAUAAAGGCUCGUUCAAGAUAAGAUAAUUGGAAUCAAAACCUCCCUUGCUUUCUCUCCGACAUAACACGCAAGAUAAGCCUUUUGGGACUCACCUUGUUUGCUAGAUAAUGAUCGUCUUAUACGCAGGGUUAAGUGAAAACCCAUUCCGUUUUGUUUCUUGACAAUAGAAUGAUCUCAAAGAAGUAGGAGAAGAAAGAAAUGAACUUGAAUUCUGACGCUUCCAAGGUAUGAAUGGUUUGUGUUGCUUGUAAACCCAAUGAUGGAUAUAUAUAUAGAGAGAGUUUGAAAACCAAUUGUAUAGCGAAUGAGUUAUUGAAUGGGUGUUAGUGGGAGCCAUGGCUCAUUAAUGAUCACAUGGUACUGUCUUGAAAGCUUUCCUAGAGGACCAUAAAAUGUGAGAUUACAUACCCCACCUUUUGAAAAAGAGACUAGAGAUAGCUUACUUAAUAUAAUUCAGACAAGCUCUAGACACAUCAAAUGUCUUGUUCUUGUUUUUGUAAGACAAGUUAUAUCCAACCAAUAAACAAUGCAAUCUUCUUGGAUGCUGCUGCAACUUUGUAUGGACAGACUACGGCCACGUUGUUGAUCUAACCGUAAAAAUGUGGCUGAUAUAUCAAUUAGAUAAAUUUAAUUACUGUAGAGUCUUAAGAAAUCACUCAUUUAAUCUUUGAGAAAGACCUCUAGACACUUUCAUGUGAUCUCUUGUCAACAUUAAGCUGUGUUGGCUAUGAGAAGAGAACAUGUGACAUGUCUAAUGCAUGUCUGAAAAGAAAAUGAGUAGGUAUUGUACAAGCUAGCAUUCAGUUUAACAUAAGCCUUUCAUUCAGAAGAUUGGUUUGCACUCUAAUAGAACUUAUUGAUCCUUGACAACACCAUGUGAUCUUUCAUCUCAUGCCCCCCAUCAUUUUAAAAAUCAUUUCUCUACCAAAGGGAUUUCAAGAAACUGUUGGAAACUAUAAAUAUAGUGUUCUCCUUCACAACAAUCACAAAUCACUCGAGCAGUCAAACUUAGAUACAUUUUUCUUAUUUGACAAAUUCAGCCGGUUCUUCAAAAUAUUUGAAAUUGGUUUCCCUUUACCUUCAACUAUUAGAAAGGCAUCAUUUAGCAGCAGCCGGACUUCAACAACGAAUGGGUUCCUAUAUGCUUCUAUUUAUAAAUUCUAAAACAGAAAAUAUAUUGUUUAUCAAAAUUCAGUCCAAUCAGUAAUAAUUUUCUAGUUUUGAAGGCAGUGGUUAUCAUUAUAUCAAACCAAUUAUUCUACAUUUAUUGGCCUAAUUAAUUAUUUAGCCAAACUAUAAUUGUAGAUAAGUUACCUUGUAUCUAAGUUUAAUUUUUUUUUACACACCUUAUGAUUGUAUUCUAUCAACUGCUUCUUCAUCUAGGCUGAGCAAUGAACUGAUGAUAAGUUGCAGGUUUUGUCUGUUCGGCGAAGUUGUUUGAUUACAACGACUGUGAUUAAGGGAAGCUAAGCCAGAGCCUAGUACUUGGUUUCAACUGAUGGUCCAGCAAAACUUUGAAUUAUGUUUUUUACUUGAAAUUCAUGUUUAACUGCCCUUUUAUGUGUAGAUUUUGGCUUAACCCAGAGAACUAGCAGUAGAAGACUUUUCAUAAUUUGCUCAAUACGUGGUAAGCCUCAACUCUAUUAUUUGAUGCUUUAUCUUCAAUUUUAGGCUCUAGUUGACUGUCUCCAAUAUAUGCUCUGUUAUAUGCUCUAAAAAUAAGCAUUUUUUAUUGUCUAGUCAUUUUUCCUAAAAAUAUAAUAUUAAUUUAAAAAAGGAUACUAAAUGUAUGGAGACUGUGAUAUUAUUUUGAUUAGUAUGUAAUAGACGGUAUCCAUUAAAUUGGGGGCAUGGCUUCAUUGGCUUGUGUUUGUGCAUGCAACACAAGUAUUUAAGAUGACAUAAAAGUUAACAGAUGAAUUCAUCAAAGUAUAAUUUGGUUCCGUUUUAGGCUUUAUUUACUACCUCUCUAGUAUUAAUUAAUAUUAGUUUGAUUAGAUGAGUUCACAAAAAACAACAGAUGAAUUCACAAGAAUAUAGUUUGAUUAGAUUCUCAUUAAUAAUUUGGUUCCGUUUUAGGCUUUAUUUACUACCUCUCUAGUAUUAAUUAAUAUUAGUUUGAUUAGAUGAGUUCACAAAAAACAACAGAUGAAUUCACAAGAAUAUAGUUUGAUUAGAUUCUCAUUUCAUAUUUCCACUUAAGAGGAAACAUCAAAAUUGAUAGGAAUUCCUGAUGUACAAAAAUUGUCUCAACUAGUAAAUCUACACUGUUCUAUGCUAACAUUCAUAUGCAUUUUUUCCUGUAUGAAUUCAUUAUAGGUUGUUCAAGCAAGAAACUGUAUGUAAGAAGAUAUCUUCCUUGCACGGAAUUGUAAGCCCGCCCAUUGGAUGACAGUAACCGUAUUCCUCUUCAGCUUGGAUAAGCAAUUCUUGAAAUAAAGGCUCGUUCAAGAAUGAUAUUGGAAUCAAAAACCUCCUUGCUUUAUCUCCAACAUACACCGCAAGAUAGCCUUUUGGGACUUCCACUUGUUUGCCAGAUGAUGGUCGUCUAAUACCAAGUAAGUGAAAACCCAUUCUUGUUUUUGUUUCUUGACAAUAGAAUGAUCUUAAAGAAGUAGUAGAAGACAGAAACGAACUUGAAUUCUGACGCUUCAAGGUAUGAAUGGUUUGUGCUGCUUGUAAACCCAAUGAUGGAUAUAUAUAGAGUUUGAAAACCAAUUGUAUAGUGAAUGAGUUAUUGAAUGGAUGUUAGUGGGAGCUAUGGCUCAUUAAUGAUCACAUGGUACUGUCUUGAAGGCUUUCCUAGAGGACCAUAAAAUGUGAGAUUACAUACCCCACCUUUUGAAAAAGAGACUAGAGAUAACUUACUUAAUAUAAUUCAGACAAGCUCUAAACACAUCAAAUAUCUUGUUCUUGUUUUUGUAAGACAAGUGAUAUCCAACCAAUAAACAAUGCAAUCUUCUUGGAUGCUGCUGCAACGUUGUAUGGACAGACUACUGCCACAUUGUUGAUCUAACCGUAAAAUGUCGCUGAUAUAUCAAUUGGAUAAAUUUAAUCACUGUCGAGUCUUAAGAAAUCACUCAUUUAAUCUUUGAGAAAGACCUCUAGACAGAUUCAUGUGAUCUCUUGUCAACAUUAAGCUGUGUUGUCUAUGUGAAGAGAACAUGUGCCAUGUCUAAUGCAUGUCUGAAAAUAAAUGAGUAGGCAUUUUACAAGCUAGUAUUCAGUUUAACAUAAGCCUUUCAUUCAGAAGAUUGGUUUGAUCUCUAAUAGAACUUAUUGAUCCUUGACAAGAAACUGUUGGAAACUAUAAAAUUAGUGUCCUCCUUCACAACAAUCACAUGUUACUCAAGCAGUCAAACUUAGAUAUACAUUUUUCUUAUGUGACAAGUUCAGCCGGUUCUUCAAAAUAUUUGAAAUUGGUUUCCUUUUACCUUCAACUAUUAGAAAGGCAUCAUUUAGCAGCACCCGGACUUCAUCAAAAGUUACGAAUGUGCCGAAGGGUUAUCUUUCACUGUACGUUGGAGAGCAAAUGAAGCGGUCUGUGAUUCGGAUGUCAUAUUUGAACCAAUGGUCAGCCUCACAAUUCCUUGCACAAGAAGAUGUUUUCUUGCAUAUAACUUCUGGCUACAUUCAAUUUCACAUUCAUUCCACGUUCAAUUUGGAAGAGAAUGACUUCCACAUUCUAUAUAUGCUCGUGUUAUCCGUUUUACAUAUAACAAAUUCAGAGUUCAAGUUCUCACUUUUUCAUCUACUACUUCUUUGAGACCAUUCUACUACUUUGAAAAGAGACAAUGGAAAAAAAGAAAUUGCAGUUCACAUGUUUCUGGGGCUGAAUUGCUGGAUUAGAAAAAAGUCUAUACAGAAGUUAAACCCAUCAAAUAAUAGAAUUCAGAUUUACCACUUAACCCAAUUAUGGAAUGUCUAUCUACGAUGACAAUUAGUUGACGGAUUUUGAGGAUAUUUCUAAUCAGUUGGUUUUUCAUUUUGAGGGGAUGGUGCUAAUACUAUUCAAGUUCACAUGUUUCUGAGGCUGAAUUGCAGGACUAAAAGGAGUCUGUACUGAAGUUAACCACAUCAAAUGUUUCUAACCCAAUUGGUUUUACAUUUUACAUUUUGAGGAAAUUUCCAAUACUGAUAAUAAUUGCUUGGAUACUAGUUUGAUUGAGGAAAUCAUUCCUAGCUUUGUUGAUGGAUAGAACAAUAAUAUGCUUAAUAUUUUCAAUGAAAAGGAGGUGAGGUGUUGAACAUAGUAGGGAGAUUGGUGUAACUAACUAGUACAUAGAAUAGAUUAACUGAAUCCUAACUAACCUUUAGUUAGUUAUCAAUUGGCUAGAUAGAGGUUCAAGUUAGUUACAAGUUACUUGCUCUAUAAGUUAUCAUAUUCAGGUGUAUGCAUGGAUGAUGAUGAGUAGUGAAAAAUUCUGCAACAUAUCUUUCUUCUUCGAUCUUUCUUUCUGCACUUUUACAUUUUUAGCUUGAUUCUUAACAUGGUAUCAUCGACCCCUGAUCAAGUCUCCACUGUUGCACUCACUUAACUCAUCUCUUCCAUCUUGGUUUUCUCUCAGUUUUCUGCAUUGUUCCAAUUGUGUUUUUCUGUGUUAACCAUGCCAGUUGCAAGCUCUGCAAGCAGCCUCAAUGGCAGAACUCCAUCACAUGCCAAUAACAAAGGUUAUCAAACCGAUACCCUCAAUCCCUAUUUCAUGCAUCCCAAUGAAAAUCCUGCUUUGGUUCUGUUUCCCCUUUGCUUUCAAACAAUAAUUAUCAUUCUUGGGCAAGAUCCAUGGCAAUUGCUCUAAGAUCCAAGAACAAACUUCAUUUUAUCAAUGACAGCUUACCUUGACCACUGGAUGAAGAUCACAAUUCCCUUGCUUGGGAUCGAUGCAACACUAUGACCAUGUCAUGGAUUCACAAUUUUUGAAUCAGAUAUUGCUCAAAGUGUAUUAUGGAUGGAUACUGCAGUUGAAAUUUGGAACGAACUGAGAGACCGUUUUAACCAAGGUGGUGUAUUCAGAAUAUCAAAUCUUCAAGAUGAAAUAUGCAACUUGAAACAAGGUGAUUCAUUUAUUUCUUCUUAUUACACAAAGCUUAAGAAAUUGUGGUAAGAAUUGAACAAUUUUCGUCCAAUUCCCGACUGUUCAUGUGAUGCUACUUGCCAAGCUAUCACCAAGAUUCGUGCAUACAAAGAUGGUGAUCAAGUUAUCAGAUUCCUCAAAAGUCUGAAUGAUCAAUAUUCAGCUGUGAGGUCCCAAAUCAUGCUAAUGGAACCACAUCUAACCAUCUGCAGAGUUUACUCUCUCCUUGUUCAACAUGAAAGACAAGCUAUCUUACCUAUUGAUGAAUCAAAGGUAUUAUCUUUUCCUAAUCUCAGUCAACCUCAAAACCAUACCUCCAAAUCCAAUAUCAAUUCUUGUGGUAGAGGCAUUAGAGGUGAUCGAUCAUUUGGUGGAAGAGGCCGAGGUUCACGAAUUUGCACUCAUUGUGGCAUGGCCAACCACACAGUUGAUUCUUGCUUCAAAAAUCAUGGUUUUCCCCACAUUGGAAGCAAGAUGGCACAAUCAACCGUUAUGCAACUAUUACUGACAAAGUAGAGGAAUCUCAAAUUGAUUUCAAUGGAGUAAAUGAGCAAGUUCAAGGUAACUUGAUUUUCACACCAGUCUAGCAUAAAGCAUUGCUGGCUCUCCUUCAGGGAUCCUCAUCUUCCCAGGCUCACAACAUCAUCAUCUGGCAACUCAACUUGAAAGUGACUCAGGUAUCAUAUGCACUAUUCCUCACCUUCCUAGACCUAAUAACUUUAUACUUGAUACUGGUGCAACUGACCAUGUAUGUCACACAAAAGAUUUUUUUUCAAUGCAUCAAAAUAAUCAAUCCCAUAACCAUCAAAUUGCCAAAUGCAGCACUUGUCACUACUAAUUAUGCUGGAACCAUACACUUUGAUCAAUAUUUAUAUAUCACUGAUGUUUUAUACAUGCCUGAUUUUUCCUUUAAUCUCAUAUUUGUUCCCAAGCUAACCAAAACCUUGAGCUAGCAAUUGAUGUUUAAUGAUACUGAUUGUAUUAUACAGGAUACUCACUCCAAGAAGAUGAAUGGCACAACUAGAUUAAAUGGUGGAUUGUAUAUCUUAGAUUCUCCCUCAGUUACCUUGUAUCACACUCUAUCAACUCACUUUAUUGAUACCUUACAUAAUCACUCUUUAGACACAUCAUAAAAUUGUAAUCUUUGGCACUUAAGGCUUGGCCACCCCUCAGAUACCAAUUUAAUUUAAUUAAAUAAAUGUUUUCCUUUUGUCAAAUCUGUGAAUUCUGCUAUUCCUUGUGAUGUAUGUUUCUAUGGUAAGCCAAAAAGACUUCCAUUUUCCCUUAGUUCUCAUAUUUCUACUUUUGUUUUUGAUUUAGUGCAUAUGGAUAUUUGGUGCCCCUUAUCCACACCAUCUAUGAUGGGAUAUAGACACUUUCUAGUUGUUGUGCAUGAUAAAAGUAGGUUCCCUUGGUUAUUUCUCAUGAGAUUGAUAUCUGAAGCACCGUCCAUCAUGAAAUCAUUUGAUUCAAGUCACUCUUUACUUAAAGUAUAUUUAUAAUUUAAGAGAGGAUAUUGAAUGUAGGGAGAUUUUGAUAAUCUUUUGAUUAACAAAUACAUAAUAUAAACUUUUAUGUAUAGUGGAAGGGCUGCUAGGAACUUAGACUAAAGGGUUGCCACUAAUUGAAUGCUUUCUGACAACAGCUUCAACGAUAAGUCCAUGUGAAGGGCACGAGAAUUCCUUGUGAUUGUGGAUUCCAUCACCUUCUUCAAACAUCACAAAAAAAUGCAACAUACAAAUACAAUUUAAUCGGUGACUAAGACGUUGUUUUGAGUUUUGUUGACUCAUGUAUGGCCUUGUAAUACAUACCAUACCAGGUUUGUAUUAUCAUAUCUAUUAUUAGUAUGUAAUAGACAGAAUCCAUCAAAUUGGAGCAUGGCUUCAUUGGCUUGUGUUUGUGCAUGCAAUGCAAGUAUAUAAGAUGACACAAAAAACAGCAUAUAAAUUCACAAGAAUAUAGUUUGAUUAGAUUCCCAUUCCAUAUUUCCACUUAAGAGGAAACAUCAAAAUUGACCGGAAUUCCUGAUGUACAAAAAUUGUCUCAACUAGUCAAUCUACACUGUUCUAUGCUAACAUUCAAAUGGAUUUUUUGCUGUAUGAAUUCAUUAUAGGUUGUUCAAGCAAGAAGCUGUAUGUAAGAAGAUAUCUUCCUUGCACGGAAUUGUAAGACCGCCCAUUGGAUGACAGUAACCGAAUUCCUCUUCAGCUUGGUUAAGCAAUUCUUGAAAUAAAGGCUCGUUCAAGAAUGAUAU
This 19682-nucleotide long non-coding RNA is filed under the name Lathyrus oleraceus (garden pea). Lineage: Eukaryota; Viridiplantae; Streptophyta; Magnoliopsida; Fabales; Fabaceae. The record is from RNAcentral.